This 460-nucleotide ribosomal RNA is filed under the name uncultured bacterium. Its description in RNAcentral is "partial 16S ribosomal RNA". It matches the Rfam family "Bacterial small subunit ribosomal RNA", at positions 338 to 795 of the family's 1533-position model. The record is from RNAcentral.
CCUACGGGAGGCAGCAGUGAGGAAUAUUGGUCAAUGGCCGGAAGGCUGAACCAGCCAUGCCGCGUGAAGGUCAGUGCCCUAUGGGCGUUAAACUUCUUUUGUGCGGGAGCAAUACUGGUCACGUGUGGCCAGACGAGAGUACCGUACGAAUAAGCAUCGGCUAACUCCGUGCCAGCAGCCGCGGUAAUACGGGGGAUGCAAGCGUUAUCCGGAUUUAUUGGGUUUAAAGGGUGCGUAGGCUGUGAGGUAAGUCAGCGGUGAAAUGCCCCCGCUCAACGGGGUGAAGUGCCAUUGAUACUGCCUGGCUGGAAUGCGGAUGCCGUGGGAGGAAUGUGUGGUGUAGCGGUGAAAUGCAUAGAUAUCACACAGAACACCGAUUGCGAAGGCAUCUCACGAAGCCGCGAUUGACGCUGAUGCACGAAAGCGUGGGUAUCAAACAGGAUUACAUACCCUUGUAGUC